Long non-coding RNA from Motacilla alba alba, 811 nucleotides. RefSeq lists it as uncharacterized. NCBI's taxonomy places the organism in Eukaryota, Metazoa, Chordata, Aves, Passeriformes, Motacillidae. The transcript has 3 exons. The record is from RefSeq and is a predicted model, not a curated record.
CUGAGGUACCCGAGGGCCUGGACUCAUGGGAGCAUCCCAAAACACUCGUCAGUCCCUUGAGGUGUCUGUUACCCCAGCAAGUGCCAGUCCUCGUGAAGCUGGUUCAGAACAAAGCUGCAGAGCAGGUGUUGGAAGGGUCAGGCCAAGGAAGGAAAGGAAAAGCUGAAGUGCCUGAGGUGCAGGGAAGCACCCGACUUUGCUUAGUGCCACCUGUGUUUCCCCAGUGCAGGCAUCACUGGACGUGAUCCCUCUGGAGGUGCUGCCAGACCAUUGAGUGCUCCAUCCCUGCCCUCCAGACACCCUCUUCCUGGAGGAAAGUCGGCAACUCUGGGUUUAUUCCAUUUUUUCACCCAUGCCAAAGCCUAUUUAAUAUCAGGUUUGCUGUGGGUUUGUUUGGGUUUGGUCCCACAAACGCCUCUGGGGCAGGUCAAUGCAUCUCCCAAGCCACCCCUUGGCUGUGCCUUUGGAGUUUGCAAAAUCCAAGGAGACCUCUGUUGUUCUGCUUGAAUAUCCCUCCCCAUCUCAGUCCCAAAUGGUGGGAAGCACCAGGGAAUAUUGUUGAUAAACAAUAGAUGUCUGGUGGAGACGCUGGUGAUUUUCCUGGUGCAAAAGGCUGCUGCAUCCUCUGUGAUAAUCCCCCUUUUUUUCCUCCUUGUUGGCUUUGUGGUUUUGUGAUUUAUUUGUGGGCUGGCAGUCAUCCACAGCCCUGCAGGAAAUGGAUGUCUGCUCUUGUGUUUGGGGGGGCCAUAUAAACGUGUAAUUUUCCCACUACAUUAAUUACAGACGUUUCUCCCUGGCUGGAGCAGCUCCA